RNAcentral lists this ribosomal RNA (694 nucleotides) under Vibrio parahaemolyticus. Its description in RNAcentral is "partial 23S ribosomal RNA". It matches the Rfam family "Bacterial large subunit ribosomal RNA", at positions 575 to 1272 of the family's 2925-position model. Lineage: Bacteria; Pseudomonadati; Pseudomonadota; Gammaproteobacteria; Vibrionales; Vibrionaceae. The record is from RNAcentral.
AGGAGCAGGCUUUGUCCUGUGACUGCGUACCUUUUGUAUAAUGGGUCAGCGACUUAUAUUCAGUGGCAAGGUUAACCAUCUAGGGGAGCCGUAGGGAAACCGAGUCUUAACUGGGCGUUCAGUCUCUGGAUAUAGACCCGAAACCAGGUGAUCUAGCCAUGGGCAGGUUGAAGGUUGAGUAACAUCAACUGGAGGACCGAACCGACUAAUGUUGAAAAAUUAGCGGAUGACUUGUGGCUAGGGGUGAAAGGCCAAUCAAACCUGGAGAUAGCUGGUUCUCCCCGAAAGCUAUUUAGGUAGCGCCUCGGACGAAUACUACUGGGGGUAGAGCACUGUUAAGGCUAGGGGGUCAUCCCGACUUACCAACCCUUUGCAAACUCCGAAUACCAGUAAGUACUAUCCGGGAGACACACGGCGGGUGCUAACGUCCGUCGUGGAGAGGGAAACAACCCAGACCGCCAGCUAAGGUCCCAAAUUACUACUAAGUGGGAAACGAUGUGGGAAGGCUCAGACAGCCAGGAUGUUGGCUUAGAAGCAGCCAUCAUUUAAAGAAAGCGUAAUAGCUCACUGGUCGAGUCGGCCUGCGCGGAAGAUGUAACGGGGCUAAGUAGUAAACCGAAGCUGCGGCAAUGUGCUUUUGCACAUUGGGUAGGGGAGCGUUCUGUAAGCGGUUGAAGGUGUGUGGUAACGCAUG